CAGGGAGACAACAAAAUGUUAAAUAUUAAUUUUGUCACCUUAGGUCGAUCGGUAUCUCAGGUUCUUAAUUACUUUAAGAAUUUCAUUUCCUAAGUUUUUUCUAGGUCACACCCAUUACUUUCCCUGGGCCAUUAGCUCAGGUGGUUAGAGCGCACCCCUGAUAAGGGUGAGGUCCCUGGUUCAAGUCCAGGAUGGCCCAUAUCUCUAUGUUGGGGGUAUAGCUCAGUUGGUAGAGCGCCUGCUUUGCAAGCAGGAUGUCAGCGGUUCGAGUCCGCUUACCUCCACUGAUUACCACCUCUUCCAUAAAUUUAAAGAAGGGAAUAGUUAUGAGCGUUGAUUUACUUCUGAACGAAUCUAGCUUCCUAAUAAAUACAUUAAGAUGCUGGACUCAUUGAAUUUUAUUCAUUGUUUUCAGAGAACCUUGACAACUGCAUAGAUUAUUUUUAAAGACAAUAAGCAUCUUUAAUGAUGCAGAUUUAUUAUUUGUGCUAAUGCAUUAAUAACAAUUCUAUUGAGCUGAUGCUUCAAUUAUUUGAAGUUAUU
This 543-nucleotide transfer RNA is filed under the name uncultured cyanobacterium. RNAcentral describes it as "partial 16S-23S ribosomal RNA intergenic spacer". The stretch from base 212 to 284 matches the Rfam family "tRNA". RNAcentral also lists the same sequence under 1 other name. The record is from RNAcentral. Lineage: Bacteria; Bacillati; Cyanobacteriota.